CCGCGUGAGGGAUGAAGGAUUUUGGUCUGUAAACCUCUUUUCUCAAGAAAGAAGUUCUGACGGUACUUGAGGAAUAAGCAUCGGCUAACUCCGUGCCAGCAGCCGCGGUAAUACGGGGGAUGCAAGCGUUAUCCGGAAUCAUUGGGCGUAAAGCGCCUGUAGGUUGUUUAGUAAGUCUGUUGUUAAAGACCAGGGCUUAACCCUGGGAAAGCAAUGGAAACUACUAGACUUGAGUAUGGCAGGGGUAGAGGGAAUUUCUAGUGUAGCGGUGAAAUGCGUAGAUAUUAGAAAGAACACCGGCGGCGAAAGCGCUCUACUGGACCAUUACUGACACUCAGAGGCGAAAGCUAGGGGAGCAAAAGGGAUUAGAUACCCCUGUAGUCCUAGCCGUAAACGAUGGAUACUAGAUGUUGCGCAAUUUGUGCAGUAUCUUAGCUAACGCGUUAAGUAUCCC
Molecule: ribosomal RNA, 454 nt
Filed under: uncultured diatom
Lineage: Eukaryota; Bacillariophyta
Description: bacterial SSU rRNA
Rfam family: Bacterial small subunit ribosomal RNA
Source: RNAcentral